This 683-nucleotide ribosomal RNA is filed under the name uncultured archaeon. RNAcentral describes it as "bacterial SSU rRNA". It matches the Rfam family "Archaeal small subunit ribosomal RNA", at positions 321 to 1008 of the family's 1478-position model. The record is from RNAcentral.
CCCUACGGGGCGCACCAGGCGCGAAACCUCUGCAAUGCACGAAAGUGUGACAGGGGGACCCCAAGUGCCCAAGUACUGCUUGGGCUUUUACUGAGUGUAAAAAGCUCUGGGAAUAAGGGCUGGGUAAGACCGGUGCCAGCCUCCGCGGUAAAACCGGCAGCUCUAGUGGUAGUCACGUUUAUUGGGCUUAAAGCAUCCGUAGCCUGUUUAGACAGUCCCCUGUGAAAUCUGACAGCCUAACUGUUAGACUUGCAGAGGAUACUUCUAGACUUGGAACCGGAAAGGGCUAGGGGCAUUCCUGGGGUAGCGGUGAAAUGUUAUAAUCCUAGGAAGGUCACCAAUGGCGAAGGCACCUAGCUAGAACGGGUUCGACGGUGAGGGAUGUAAGCUAGGGGAGCGAACGGGAUUAGAUACCCCGGUAGUCCUAGCCGUAAACGAUGCGGACUAAGUGUUUCAUGAUCUUCAGGUUCAUGAAGUGUUGAAGGGGAACCGUUAAGUCCGCCGCCUGGGAACUACGGUCGCAAGGCUGAAACUUAAAGGAAUUGGCGGGGGAGCACCACAAGGGGUGGAGUCUGCGGUUCAAUUGGAUACAACGCCGAGAAACUUACCAGGGGCGACGGCAGUAUGAUGGUCAAGCUGAUGACUUACCGGACGAGCCGAGAGAGUGCAUGGCCAAGGCGAUU